CCUACGGGCGGCAGCAGUGGGGAAUAUUGCACAAUGGGCGCAAGCCUGAUGCAGCCAUGCCGCGUGUGUGAAGAAGGCCUUCGGGUUGUAAAGCACUUUCAGCGGGGAGGAAGGCGGUGAGGUUAAUAACCUCAUCGAUUGACGUUACCCGCAGAAGAAGCACCGGCUAACUCCGUGCCAGCAGCCGCGGUAAUACGGAGGGUGCAAGCGUUAAUCGGAAUUACUGGGCGUAAAGCGCACGCAGGCGGUCUGUCAAGUCGGAUGUGAAAUCCCCGGGCUCAACCUGGGAACUGCAUUCGAAACUGGCAGGCUAGAGUCUUGUAGAGGGGGGUAGAAUUCCAGGUGUAGCGGUGAAAUGCGUAGAGAUCUGGAGGAAUACCGGGGGCGAAGGCGGCCCCCUGGACAAAGACUGACGCUCAGGUGCGAAAGCGUGGGAGCAAACAGGAUUAGAUACCCCGGUAGUC
This 464-nucleotide ribosomal RNA is filed under the name uncultured Klebsiella sp. RNAcentral's name for it is "bacterial SSU rRNA". It matches the Rfam family "Bacterial small subunit ribosomal RNA", at positions 338 to 795 of the family's 1533-position model. The record is from RNAcentral. Lineage: Bacteria; Pseudomonadati; Pseudomonadota; Gammaproteobacteria; Enterobacterales; Enterobacteriaceae.